RNAcentral lists this long non-coding RNA (1141 nucleotides) under Salvator merianae (Argentine black and white tegu). Its description in RNAcentral is "lncRNA (ENSSMRG00000013397.1)". Lineage: Eukaryota; Metazoa; Chordata; Lepidosauria; Squamata; Teiidae. The record is from RNAcentral.
UUGUGCUUUUGCCCUGUCUCUGCUGAGCACUAGUCCAGUAAUUGAGUUAGGGCACCUGCUUCCUUCAUGACUAGCAGUGGGAAAGAAGACAACUGAUUUCAGAUGAGGUCUCCACAAGCCUCCACGGUUUCACACCAGGAGGAGGAUCCUCGGAAGUCCGUGGCUGUGGAUCGCAUAGAAACAUGUAGUAGCACUGUUCGAAAUGCACCUGCUACUCAGGAGGCAAGGGACAGCCAGCUGCAGGAAAGGUCAUCUCCACUGCCCAGCGCAAGAACAGAAGUCACGGACACAGCCGCCAAUGCAGCAAUGGAACGGCCAAGCAUUGACCCCUCAGAGGAUGCAGCUACAGACCCUGUUGGAUCAAAAGUGCAGCAGUGCUGAGAUUAUAAAUGAAUGUGCUUAGUUACAAGAUGAAAUAGGCAGGUUGAAGAGAACAGUCAGGCUAUGCUAAGUCACAAGGAGGAGCAACCAGAAGAUACGACGGUCAUAAAGCAUUCCCUAUUCUUGCAAGUAUCAGCCUAUUCUUUCUCUAGAUUAAUUAACAAUAGUGUUUUCAAUCUGCAGCUGGUCUGACAGCUUGUCAUUAAAACAAAAUGUAAAUGAACACAAACCUACAGGUGUCAGGUCUCCUACACUGUCACAGGGUCCCUGCUGCUCAAACCAUUGCAACAAUAGAAGACGUUUCUAACCUAGAUAAAUGGUUUAUCUGGUUUCAAAUCUAUGAGCUCAAAUUGCACUCUAACAGCCUUCUAUUUUACAUACUUCAGAAGAGGGGUGCCACUCUGUUUAUAGUUCUUAUAGAAUGAUUGUAUAUUAGGAUCUUGCACUAUACUAACUAGAACAGUCUUUUCCCAACCUCGUGUCCCCUCCCAGAUGAUUUGAAUUCAUAUUAGUCCCAGCCUACAUACCUGCAUACCUCUAGUGAUGAGCUAGACCCUCCCUCCCCCCCAAUUUGAAUUGUAGGCUGUAUUUGGCAGACUCCAAGUUGGGAGAGUUUAAAAGCAAUCCAAACCAGUUUCAACCAAUCCUGCCUUUGGCUUCAAAAGUAUGCACUUUGCAGGGAAGCCCAACAAGGCUGCCUCCAAGACCUAGUAAUGUUGCUUCGUUAAAUAAAAUGCACAGUGCUAUUGUUGCUUUCUCA